Long non-coding RNA from Jatropha curcas, 1620 nucleotides. RefSeq lists it as uncharacterized. Lineage: Eukaryota; Viridiplantae; Streptophyta; Magnoliopsida; Malpighiales; Euphorbiaceae. The record is from RefSeq and is a predicted model, not a curated record.
AAUCUUCCUUUAAUUGCCUUAUUUUCUUUUUCUUUUUCUUUUUUUUCCUUUUUUCUCCCAUUUCAUUUAUUAUCUUUUUCUAUCCUGUAGUUAAAUUUUCUCUUGAUAGAAUUUAUGGGUUGAUCAAUUUUUGUUAUUUGCUAUAUUCUGGGUAAUCUGAAGGUGGUGAAGAAAUUCCAAGUAUGAUUGCAGGCAAAUUUUCCCCAUUUCUUUUUCUGCCUAUUGUUGCCUUUCAUGGGCUGCUUUCGCGGUGUAAAUGUGUAUCUUUUUUUUCACUCUCACAUAUGGCUUCACGUCCGAUUUUUGUGCAAGUUAGGUUGCAACUUUGGUUUGUAACCAUGUUAAGUGAAGCUAAAACAAUGUUCUCCUUGAAACCAAUGCAACCAUUUAUGCAUAUAUGUUGCAUUUGGACGUUUUGGGAACGAUAAUUAUGUUAAUUUUUCUGAUACAUGUAAGAAUAUCCAUAAUUGAAUAAAAAGUUGUCUAUCUGAUCAGGAGUAGCUUGCUGAUGAUAUGUGCAUUUUUUUUUUUUUUGAGACAUUUCAGUGUGCAAAGUUUGAUUACAAUGGAAAUGUUGAGCUCUUUAAGGAACUUAAUGGUUUUCUAUUGGUUGUUUCUCUCUUUGCUGUUGUUAUGUUAGUGUGAUUGCUAUUUUUAGUUUAUCCAGCGUUACACUCUUUUGUGAGUUGUAAGAAAAGUAUUUGUUUUUAGAGGUUUAAAGCCUGUUUACAAUUGUGGUUAAAUUGCUUUUCCAAAAAAUAAUCAUUUUGGAUAUUAAGGAAAAGCAAUUUUGAAGUUUUGCCUUUGUAGCUUUCAUGACUAGCAUAUAUGAAAUUCAACUUCAAAAACUUUAAUGACCUCUAAUUAAUAUUUUCAACAAUGAUUUUUUUUCCCUCAAUAGUAACUCAAAUAGCAAUGAAACACACCCUUAGGCUUUGAUCAGCCAUUGGCUUUUCAUUUUCUGUUCAUAUAUGGCUUCACAUCUAGGCCUUGUAUGUUACAGGUCAUGUGAUAGUUCUGUGUAGGUGACCUAGUUUAUGUGAAGCCAGAAGAAUGUUCUCCUUAAAAUCAAUGCAGCUUGUGUGUUGCAGUUGAACGUUUUGGGAACAACAUCUAAUUCUCAUUAGUCAUUGCUCUUCGGUUGACCUCCUAUUCAUUCAGUCAAAUGAUAGUGUAAAUGACGCACAAAUUCUUUCUUCCCUUCUACAGAUUCAUAAUGGUUGGGACGAGUAUUCCAUCAAUUUUGUUAGAAUUUUACAAAACUGAGGUGAAUUUAUUUUUCUAGGAGAGAAACCGAACUGCUGAACCAAAAUAAUCAUAAAAAUAUUAAAACCAAUGUGAAAAUACUGGGUAAAAAAUUCAAAAUGCAAAUUUCAAAUUUUUAUGUAUAAUGUAUACAAAAAUAUUAUAUAUAUAUACACACACACACACACACACACACACACACACACAUAUAGGCUUCAGUUUUAUUUUUAUCACCAAAACUGAAUCAAACCAAAAUUUACCAAAAUCUAAAACCAAAGCACACUGAGCCAAACUUGGAAGACCAAACCAAGAAACCAAAAAGCAUCAGUUUGGUUGGUUUCUUUAGUUUUUAGCUGGAUAGUGCUUACCCUCUAA